CAAUAUUAUUGGCUUUGAAUUUAACAUUUAAGGUAAGGCUUUAUGUGUUUAUUUAAUUAGUCUAACUUUAUUUUGUUAUUUAAUUAAUGUAAUAAUUAUCAUAUAUGUUUAGAUUAUUUGAUUAUAAUUAUAAUUUUAUUUAUCAUGUAAUCUCAAAAAAAAUUUUCUCAAGACUCAUUUUCAAUUAAAAAAAAAAAACAGCCCACUAAUACUUUACUCAAAUUAAUAGAUGGUACAAUAAUGAAAAUGAGGUGAGACUUGAGUCAUCCUGUUUGUAAUUCAUAGGGAAAAUGAAAGAGUUGAUCCAAGCAAGGUAUGAUUGAAUUGUCUUCCAGCUAUGCACUAAUAAUAUUUUGUAUUCAUUGUAUGUUUCUACAAACUUUUUUUUUUUUGAUAAUAACAUGUGGGGCGGUUAGAUUAAAACAGUAAUUAUGAAAUUAUUUUAAGUGAAGAUAUUUUGAACAAGGGCAACAGACAAAUCCAUGGAUUGCAUUUGUCGAAAUCAUCACUGGGGUCCCAUUUAUUUGCGUUGGUUUCUUUUAGACCACAUUUUCACCCACCUUUCCUACGGUUGAAAACUUGGAUUUUUGCAUUAGAUUCUUCUUUAAAAUUAAUGCUUGUUAGGUAAUAUGAAAAGAUGUCGAUAAAUCGCACAUUACGUGAACCAAUUCUACACUCUACUUUGAAAAAAAUCUUUUCGAAAACAAAGUUUAAUUAAGUCUUCUAUUUUAACUAUACCUCAAAUUAAUUUAAAAUUUUAAGAUUUUAAGUUUAAAUUUUAUUAUAUGUGUAUUUAAUUUAAUUUUAUAUUGAAUUUAUCUAAUGAUGUUUUAAUUUAUUUGAUUAUUUAAUGAUUUUUUAUACAUAAAUAUAACAAAUAGUUAUGAUUGUAUUUUAAACUUAUAAUUUCAUAA
RNAcentral lists this long non-coding RNA (914 nucleotides) under Durio zibethinus. RNAcentral describes it as "long non-coding RNA (DZIB_LNC001121)". The record is from RNAcentral. Lineage: Eukaryota; Viridiplantae; Streptophyta; Magnoliopsida; Malvales; Malvaceae.